Molecule: long non-coding RNA, 1112 nt
Organism: Seriola aureovittata
Lineage: Eukaryota; Metazoa; Chordata; Actinopteri; Carangiformes; Carangidae
Exons: 2
Source: RefSeq, a predicted model, not a curated record
GUUUUCUGGUCAGCUGAAAUCUGGUGACUGGGCAGGCCACUGAACUUACUGUCAUGUUGGUGGAACCAGUUUGAGAUGUUUUCCUGUCUGAAAAGCUCCGGUGCCUGAUGCAGACAUACGCCCCCUUAACAUCAGCAAGCCUCCACCAUGUUUGACUGUGGGAAUGGUGGUGUUCUCCUCACAGGCGGCACAGGGUUUUUUUCUCACCACACGGACCCUUUGACAAUUAUGACCAAAUAGUUCAACUUUGGUCUCAUCAUUUAGUUCCAAAACUCAUUUGGUUUGCUCACAUGCUCUUUAGCAUCAUCUGAGCAUGGUGCCUUGUGUAUAGAAGUAGGCAAUGGCUUCCUGCCUGCUUUUCUCUCAGACAUUCCUUGGGUGCUUGAGCAGAUCUAGUGUAAGUUUAAUUAUAGCAAAGUUACCUGGGUUGAGAUAGAGCAGCAUAAAAGCUACCAGUGACACAGAAAGUCAGUCAAAGGUACAGUUCUGUUCAUGGUGUUUGUUUCUUACCAAAACUCUGAUUCCGAUGGUUCCUAAGUGACAACUCCCCAAAGUCAUCCUCUGCAAACACAGAAGAAGAGAAAUGUGACAAAACAUUGUGAGACAGACUUACAAUCUUACAGACAGACUCUCAACAACUAUCAUAAAAGCUCAUAACACUCAGUUCCUUUUGUUUAUUUGUUGUUAAGGUGAAGGUAUUUUGCCAGAAUAGAUUGCACAAUGUGUCAAGAGAGAUGCUGCUGAAAGCAGUCGCAAUCAAUUUCAGUUAUACUGGGUGAAUUGAUGGAUUUUUGUCUUGCUCAGUGGGACCAAUAGGAGCGCAGCAGCAAAGGCCUGUAUUGCUGAAGUUAGACCAAAGCAGACACAGACACUAAUUGGAUUUACUGUAGUGUGUGUGUUUGUGUGUGAGAGAGAGAGACGAGAGACAGCAAUGCAAAUACUAGAGUGACACCAUUUGGAAAACACGGACCACUUCCCUUCGUUUCUCAUUUGUAAUUCUAUCAUAAACUGUGUUGCACUCAUUACACCGCUUGUGAUAUAAUAUGUCCUGUUAACUUCUGUGUGAAUGUCAUCAGCAUUGGUGGAAAUAAACAAGGUAUCAUUUACUUAAA